UACAGAGGGCUCAAGCGUUGUUCGGAUUCAUUGGGCGUAAAGGGUGCGUAGGCGGCGCGGUAAGUCGGGGGUGAAAUCUCGGAGCUUAACUCCGAAACUGCAUUCGAUACUGCCGUGCUUGAGGACUGGAGAGGAGACUGGAAUUUACGGUGCAGCGGUGAAAUGCGUAGAUAUCGUAAGGAAGACCAGUGGCGAAGGCGGGUCUCUGGACAGUUCCUGACGCUGAGACGCGAAAGCGUGGGGAGCAAACAGG
Molecule: ribosomal RNA, 253 nt
Filed under: uncultured bacterium
Lineage: Bacteria
Description: partial 16S ribosomal RNA
Rfam family: Bacterial small subunit ribosomal RNA
Source: RNAcentral